Molecule: ribosomal RNA, 235 nt
Filed under: uncultured bacterium
Lineage: Bacteria
Description: partial 16S ribosomal RNA
Rfam family: Bacterial small subunit ribosomal RNA
Source: RNAcentral
CGGUGAGUAACACGUGGGUAACCUGCCCCGAUGAUUGGGACAACCGAGGAAACUCGGGCUAAUACCGAAUGUGUCCUCUGACCUCAAGGUCUGAGGGGAAAGGAAGCUUCGGCCUCCGCAUCGGGAUGGGCCCGCGGCCCAUUAGCUUGUUGGUGAGGUAAAGGCCCACCAAGGCUACGAUGGGUAGCUGGUCUGAGAGGACGAUCAGCCACACUGGGACUGAGACACGGCCCAG